This 254-nucleotide ribosomal RNA is filed under the name uncultured bacterium. Its description in RNAcentral is "partial 16S ribosomal RNA". It matches the Rfam family "Bacterial small subunit ribosomal RNA", at positions 524 to 776 of the family's 1533-position model. The record is from RNAcentral.
UACGUAGGGUGCGAGCGUUGUCCGGAAUUAUUGGGCGUAAAGAGCUCGUAGGCGGUGUGUCACGUCGGCCGUGAAAACCUGGGGCUUAACUCUGGGCGUGCGGUCGAUACGGGCAUCACUAGAGUUCGGCAGGGGAGACUGGAAUUCCUGGUGUAGCGGUGAAAUGCGCAGAUAUCAGGAGGAAUACCGGUGGCGAAGGCGGGUCUCUGGGCCGAUACUGACGCUGAGGAGCGAAAGCAUGGGGAGCGAACAGG